This 349-nucleotide long non-coding RNA is filed under the name Sorghum bicolor (sorghum). Its description in RNAcentral is "long non-coding RNA (SBIC_LNC016794)". Lineage: Eukaryota; Viridiplantae; Streptophyta; Magnoliopsida; Poales; Poaceae. The record is from RNAcentral.
AAAGAGUACAAGAGAAAAAGGAAAACGAAAGGAUAUUGGAGAAAGAAAGAGAACUUGCUGAGGAGAAGGAAAGAAGGAAAUUGGAGAAAGAAAGAGAACUUGCUGAGGAGAAAGAAAGAAGGAAAUUGGAGCAAGAAAGAGAACUUGCUGAGGAGAAGGAAAGAAGGAAAUUGGAGAAAGAAAGAGAACUUGCUGAAGAGAAGGAAAGAAUGAAAGAGAAGGAAAGAAUGAAAUUGGAGAAAGAAAAAGAACUUGCCGAAGAGAAGGAAAGAAGGAAAUUGGAGAAAGAAAGAGAACUUGCUGAAGAGAAGGAAAGAAGAAAAUUGGAAGAGGCAGAAAGGGAGAGGGA